Long non-coding RNA from Pteropus alecto (black flying fox), 318 nucleotides. RefSeq lists it as uncharacterized. The transcript has 2 exons. NCBI's taxonomy places the organism in Eukaryota, Metazoa, Chordata, Mammalia, Chiroptera, Pteropodidae. The record is from RefSeq and is a predicted model, not a curated record.
UGGUGAGAAGAGGCCAAAGUUGCCAGGUUGGUCUCUCAAGGACCCAGUCAGUGGGACCACCAUGGAACCAUUUCUCUCAGGAGCGAAGACUUCCAAACCGGCGGAGCCCAGCGACACAGUGGAGAAUGCCCAGCGUUGGACGCCUGCCGUGUGCCAUUCCAAGGUCUCCGCGCUGAGUUCUACAGCACUGGGCACUGAUGGGCACAGUUGUCCCCGGCAUGUUUUCUCUCUCUCUCUCUCUCUUUCUCUCUUUUUUUUAUACAAUUGAGUUUCUUUACCGGACCACAUGGCUACCCAAAAUAAAAACUAUAUUUCCCA